This 1344-nucleotide ribosomal RNA is filed under the name Escherichia coli. Its description in RNAcentral is "partial 23S ribosomal RNA". It matches the Rfam family "Bacterial large subunit ribosomal RNA", at positions 333 to 1682 of the family's 2925-position model. The record is from RNAcentral. Lineage: Bacteria; Pseudomonadati; Pseudomonadota; Gammaproteobacteria; Enterobacterales; Enterobacteriaceae.
UGGAAGCGUCUGGAAAGGCGCGCGAUACAGGGUGACAGCCCCGUACACAAAAAUGCACAUGCUGUGAGCUCGAUGAGUAGGGCGGGACACGUGGUAUCCUGUCUGAAUAUGGGGGGACCAUCCUCCAAGGCUAAAUACUCCUGACUGACCGAUAGUGAACCAGUACCGUGAGGGAAAGGCGAAAAGAACCCCGGCGAGGGGAGUGAAAAAGAACCUGAAACCGUGUACGUACAAGCAGUGGGAGCACGCUUAGGCGUGUGACUGCGUACCUUUUGUAUAAUGGGUCAGCGACUUAUAUUCUGUAGCAAGGUUAACCGAAUAGGGGAGCCGAAGGGAAACCGAGUCUUAACUGGGCGUUAAGUUGCAGGGUAUAGACCCGAAACCCGGUGAUCUAGCCAUGGGCAGGUUGAAGGUUGGGUAACACUAACUGGAGGACCGAACCGACUAAUGUUGAAAAAUUAGCGGAUGACUUGUGGCUGGGGGUGAAAGGCCAAUCAAACCGGGAGAUAGCUGGUUCUCCCCGAAAGCUAUUUAGGUAGCGCCUCGUGAAUUCAUCUCCGGGGGUAGAGCACUGUUUCGGCAAGGGGGUCAUCCCGACUUACCAACCCGAUGCAAACUGCGAAUACCGGAGAAUGUUAUCACGGGAGACACACGGCGGGUGCUAACGUCCGUCGUGAAGAGGGAAACAACCCAGACCGCCAGCUAAGGUCCCAAAGUCAUGGUUAAGUGGGAAACGAUGUGGGAAGGCCCAGACAGCCAGGAUGUUGGCUUAGAAGCAGCCAUCAUUUAAAGAAAGCGUAAUAGCUCACUGGUCGAGUCGGCCUGCGCGGAAGAUGUAACGGGGCUAAACCAUGCACCGAAGCUGCGGCAGCGACGCUUAUGCGUUGUUGGGUAGGGGAGCGUUCUGUAAGCCUGUGAAGGUGUGCUGUGAGGCAUGCUGGAGGUAUCAGAAGUGCGAAUGCUGACAUAAGUAACGAUAAAGCGGGUGAAAAGCCCGCUCGCCGGAAGACCAAGGGUUCCUGUCCAACGUUAAUCGGGGCAGGGUGAGUCGACCCCUAAGGCGAGGCCGAAAGGCGUAGUCGAUGGGAAACAGGUUAAUAUUCCUGUACUUGGUGUUACUGCGAAGGGGGGACGGAGAAGGCUAUGUUGGCCGGGCGACGGUUGUCCCGGUUUAAGCGUGUAGGCUGGUUUUCCAGGCAAAUCCGGAAAAUCAAGGCUGAGGCGUGAUGACGAGGCACUACGGUGCUGAAGCAACAAAUGCCCUGCUUCCAGGAAAAGCCUCUAAGCAUCAGGUAACAUCAAAUCGUACCCCAAACCAACACAGGUGGUCAGGUAGAGAAUACC